ACUGGGGUGGCAGAGCAUGGUAAUUGCAAAAGACCUAAGCCCUUUUAACCAGGGGUUCAAAUCCCCUUCCCAGUU
Molecule: transfer RNA, 75 nt
Filed under: Enteromius guirali
Lineage: Eukaryota; Metazoa; Chordata; Actinopteri; Cypriniformes; Cyprinidae
Description: tRNA-Leu
Rfam family: tRNA
About the family: Transfer RNA (tRNA) molecules are approximately 80 nucleotides in length. Their secondary structure includes four short double-helical elements and three loops (D, anti-codon, and T loops). Further hydrogen bonds mediate the characteristic L-shaped molecular structure. tRNAs have two regions of fundamental functional importance: the anti-codon, which is responsible for specific mRNA codon recognition, and the 3' end, to which the tRNAs corresponding amino acid is attached (by aminoacyl-tRNA synthetases). tRNAs cope with the degeneracy of the genetic code in two manners: having more than one tRNA (with a specific anti-codon) for a particular amino acid; and 'wobble' base-pairing, i.e. permitting non-standard base-pairing at the 3rd anti-codon position.
Source: RNAcentral